GAUGAACGCUGGCGGCGCGCCUAAUACAUGCAAGUCGAGCGAACGGACGAGAAGCUUGCUUCUCUGAUGUUAGCGGCGGACGGGUGAGUAACACGUGGAUAACCUACCUAUAAGACUGGGAUAACUUCGGGAAACCGGAGCUAAUACCGGAUAAUAUUUUGAACCGCAUGGUUCAAAAGUGAAAGACGGUCUUGCUGUCACUUAUAGAUGGAUCCGCGCUGCAUUAGCUAGUUGGUAAGGUAACGGCUUACCAAGGCAACGAUGCAUAGCCGACCUGAGAGGGUGACCGGCCACACGGGAACGGAGACAGGGCCCAGACCCCGAGGGGAGGCACAGGGAGGGAUUCUUCCGAAAUGGGCGAAGGCCGGACGGAGCAACGCCGGGUGAGUAAUGAGGGUCUUCGGAUCGUAAAACUUUUUUAUUAGGGAAGAAAAUAUGGGUAAGUAACUGGGCACAUCUUGAGGGUACCUAAUCAGAAGCCCAGGGCAAACUACGUC
This 497-nucleotide ribosomal RNA is filed under the name uncultured bacterium. RNAcentral describes it as "partial 16S ribosomal RNA". It matches the Rfam family "Bacterial small subunit ribosomal RNA", at positions 28 to 507 of the family's 1533-position model. The record is from RNAcentral.